AGGAGCUGAUCUGCCCCUGAUCUCUAAAGAGACUCAAACUUCCUCCUUCAGCUCAGCUCAACUCUCCAACAUUAACUCUGCUCAACAUGCUGUCUCUGCUCACAUCUGGAUUCACUCUGCUGGUUCUGAUCACUGGAUCAGGUGUAAACUGUCAACAACUCACUGCAGCGAAGACUGAGGAGUUCAGUUCAGAGGGCAGCUCUGUUACUCUGACCUGUAGUUACACCAAAGAUUCUGCACAGGUUUUAUUCUGGUAUCAACAAAAUCCAGGAGAACCUCCAGAGUUCCUGAGGUCUCACUCACCUUUUGGUGGAUCAGAACAUCUGGACAGGAUGACAUUUAAAGGAAGCAAAGAAGAAAUGUCCAUGACGAUCUCCUCUGCUGCAGUGACAGACUCUGCUGUGUACUACUGCGCUGUGAGGCCCACAGUGACAGGAAACACCAGAACCCUGUACAAAAACCUGCAGUACUCCACAGCAGCCACUAGAGGGCCUCACUCCCUGUUAAUCCACUGGUUGUUGAGUCUUUGGACUGAAGACAAAGACAACAGAGACAUGAAGCAGUAAAGAUCAGAGACAGAGCUGCUGAGGAAGCAGAAAACUCUCUGAUUGGUUGAGUUGAAAUGGCCCCGCCCACUGACCUUCAGCUCAUCCAAUGACAUCAUUUCUUCCUCCUCCUCUGUCAGUCUCCACUUUUUCUAUAACUAAUUACUGGAGAUAAUCUCUGCUGUUAGAGAAGGACAACCUGUCCCACUCAGCUGUUGCUAAGAGACAACGUCUCCGUCUCCUGUCCUCCACUGGUCCAAACUGGUCUGACCUUCAGGUUCCCCGGUUUCUGUUCUGGAAGCAGAUGUUUGGGUUCCUCCAGAACCAUAGAGCUCAGCCUUUCCUUAAAAUCAUGAACAACUGGCAGCAUGUUUAGGACCGGUUCAGUCCAAAAGAACCCGGUCCGUGUGGAACCAUGGUUCUGUAUAUCUACCAGCAGGAGGUCGCUCAGUUUUACAUGGGCUCAGAACCAAUUGGCCAAAACCAGAACCAGAUCACUGUUCCCUGUCUGGACCCGACCAGAACCAUUCGGCCCACCGAACUGCCAUG
Molecule: non-coding RNA, 1094 nt
Organism: Xiphophorus hellerii (green swordtail)
Lineage: Eukaryota; Metazoa; Chordata; Actinopteri; Cyprinodontiformes; Poeciliidae
Source: the annotation of a RefSeq genome assembly